CCGUCGACGAUACACAGUCGGUGGCCAAGCGAAAGCGAUAAGUCAUCCACCUGGGGAGUACGUUCGCAAGAAUGAAACUCAAAGGAAUUGACGGGGGCCCGCACAAGCGGAGGAACAUGUGGUUUAAUUCGAUGAUACGCGAGGAACCUUACCCGGGCUCGAACGGUGCAGGAAGGAUCAAGAGAUUGUGACGCCCUUCGGGGCCUGCAUCGAGGUGCUGCAUGGUUGUCGUCAGCUCGUGUCGUGAGAUGUUGGCUUAAGUGCCAUAACGAGCGCAACCCUUGUCGCCAGUUACCAGCAUGCAAGAUGGGGACUCUGGCGAGACUGCCACCGCAAGGUGUGAGGAAGGCGGGGAUGACGUCAAAUCAGCACGGCCCUUACGUCCGGGGCGACACACGUGUUACAAUGGCGACUACAGAGGGAUGCCACCUGGCGACAGGGAGCGGAUCUCGAAAAGUCGUCUCAGUUCGGAUUGGAGUCUGCAACUCGACUCCAUGAAGCUGGAUUCGCUAGUAAUCGCGCAUCAGCCAUGGCGCGGUGAAUACGUUCCCGGGCCUUGUACACACCGCCCGUCAAGCCAUGAAAGCCGGGGGUGCCUGAAGUCCGUGACCGAAAGGAGCGGCCUAGGGCAAAACUGGUAAUUGGGGCUAAG
This 652-nucleotide ribosomal RNA is filed under the name uncultured bacterium. RNAcentral's name for it is "bacterial SSU rRNA". It matches the Rfam family "Bacterial small subunit ribosomal RNA", at positions 820 to 1485 of the family's 1533-position model. The record is from RNAcentral.